UCCGAAAGACUCUCGGCAACGGAUAUCUCGGCUCCUGCAUCGAUGAAGAACGUAGCGAAAUGCGAUACUUGGUGUGAAUUGCAGAAUCCCGUGAACCAUCGAGUCUUUGAACGCAAGUUGCGCCCGAAGCCAUUAGGCUGAGGGCACGCCUGCCUGGGUGUCGCCC
RNAcentral lists this ribosomal RNA (166 nucleotides) under Crotalaria retusa. RNAcentral's name for it is "5.8S ribosomal RNA". It matches the Rfam family "5.8S ribosomal RNA". Rfam says of the family: 5.8S ribosomal RNA (5.8S rRNA) is a component of the large subunit of the eukaryotic ribosome. It is transcribed by RNA polymerase I as part of the 45S precursor that also contains 18S and 28S rRNA. Lineage: Eukaryota; Viridiplantae; Streptophyta; Magnoliopsida; Fabales; Fabaceae. The record is from RNAcentral.